This is a transfer RNA of Wallemia sebi, 99 nucleotides long. It matches the Rfam family "tRNA". Rfam says of the family: Transfer RNA (tRNA) molecules are approximately 80 nucleotides in length. Their secondary structure includes four short double-helical elements and three loops (D, anti-codon, and T loops). The record is from Rfam. NCBI's taxonomy places the organism in Eukaryota, Fungi, Basidiomycota, Wallemiomycetes, Wallemiales, Wallemiaceae.
GCUUCUGUGGCUUAGUGGUUAUAGUAUCUGUCUUACAAUAUUACAAUUUGAGUAAUAUCUGUUCACAGAUGAUCGGUGGUUCGAAUCCGCCCAGGAGCU